GGUGGUCUGAUGGCUACCGUUUCUGCUUCAUAAGCAGAAGGUCAUGGGUUCAAUCCCAUGACCGUUU
RNAcentral lists this transfer RNA (67 nucleotides) under Aedes aegypti (yellow fever mosquito). It matches the Rfam family "tRNA". Rfam says of the family: Transfer RNA (tRNA) molecules are approximately 80 nucleotides in length. The record is from Rfam by way of RNAcentral. Lineage: Eukaryota; Metazoa; Arthropoda; Insecta; Diptera; Culicidae.